Long non-coding RNA from Homo sapiens (human), 750 nucleotides. Ensembl annotates it as RNF32 divergent transcript. Its record names the gene RNF32-DT. NCBI's taxonomy places the organism in Eukaryota, Metazoa, Chordata, Mammalia, Primates, Hominidae. The record is from Ensembl.
GCGCACGGCGUCAGCGUCUAGACGCAGGCCCUCCUGGUGAGAUCCCAUCACGUCCCCUGGCCUCCAGUGUCAUCUGCUCUGCAUGAUAUCUCCAGGGGGACCUCUCUGCUGGGCUCCAGGCCGCAUGGCUGUGGGUGACCAGCAUCAUGUCCCACCGGGUCCCCUGCAGUCCCAGUGCACCUGCCUGCUCAUCCAGGGACCUGUCCUCACUGCCUGCUGCCUGCACUGUGUGGAAGGACAGAGGCUAAACGACGAAGCCUCGAGCUCUGGUCUCAUGGAAAUGGCAGCCUGCCCACCACCCACGCUUGCCCAGCCUUUCUUCACGCAGUGUAUUCAGGAGUCCAUGCAGCAGGAAGUGGAGCCAUCAUCACAGGGUACGAAGGGAGGACAAGUGCAGUGUCGUGAGCAUGUACAGAGGGAAGUUGACAGCGGGGAGAGGCUUUGCUGAGGAAGUGGCGUUUGGAAGAACGAGAAUGAGAUGGGGUUUUGCCGUGUUACCCAGGCUAGUCACGAACUCCUGUGCUCAAGCGAUCUGUCUGCCUCGGCCUCCAAAGUGCUGGGAUUGCAGGCAUGAGCCACCGCGCCCAGCCAGAAAGCCACUGCUUUAUAGACCACCACUUAAAUGCACCUGGCAGCUUCAUGUACGCAAGAACUUUCCUGCAGCUCCUUUAAAUUUAAGAAUCUUUUGGCAAAAUGAAGAAUACAAGCGUGUUUCUUCUUCAUAUGCUUUGUUUUAGGAACAUUAAAAAA